Molecule: ribosomal RNA, 970 nt
Filed under: Cortinarius saniosus
Lineage: Eukaryota; Fungi; Basidiomycota; Agaricomycetes; Agaricales; Cortinariaceae
Description: eukaryotic LSU rRNA
Rfam family: Eukaryotic large subunit ribosomal RNA (bases 588-970)
Source: RNAcentral
UGUAUUUAGAGGAAGUAANAGUCGUAACCAGGUUUCCGUAGGUGAACAUGCGGAAGGAUCAUUAUUGAAAUAAACCUGAUGGGUUGUUGCUGGCUCUCUAGGGAGCAUGUGCACGCCUUGUCAUCUUUAUAUCUCCACCUGUGCACCUUUUGUAGACCUUUCGGGGUCUAUGUUGCUUCAUUUUUCCACAAUGUAUGUUAAUAGAAUGUUGUGCCCUGUAUAAUAUAUACAACUUUCAGCAACGGAUCUCUUGGCUCUCGCAUCGAUGAAGAACGCAGCGAAAUGCGAUAAGUAAUGUGAAUUGCAGAAUUCAGUGAAUCAUCGAAUCUUUGAACGCACCUUGCGCUCCUUGGUAUUCCGAGGAGCAUGCCUGUUUGAGUGUCAUUAAUAUACAUAUAUCAAGCCUUCUCUUGUAGAAGGGUUUGGAUGUGGGGGUUUGCUGGCCUCUUAAUCUUAAGAGUUCAGCUCUCCUGAAAUGCAUUAGCAGAACAACCUUAUGUUCAUUGGUGUGAUAACUAUCUACGCUAUUGAAUGUUGAGGGGGAAGUUCAGCUUUCUAACGGUCCCUUGGACAACUCAUCAUUAAUGUGACCUCAAAUCAGGUAGGACUACCCGCUGAACUUAAGCAUAUCAAUAAGCGGAGGAAAAGAAACUAACAAGGAUUCCCCUAGUAACUGCGAGUGAAGCGGGAAAAGCUCAAAUUUAAAAUCUGGCGGUUUUUUUGGCCGUCCGAGUUGUAAUCUAGAGAAGUGUUAUCCGCGCUGGACCGUGUACAAGUCUCCUGGAAUGGAGCAUCAUAGAGGGUGAGAAUCCCGUCUUUGACAUGGACUGCCAGGGCUUUGUGAUGCGCUCUCAAAGAGUCGAGUUGUUUGGGAAUGCAGCUCAAAAUGGGUGGUAAAUUCCAUCUAAAGCUAAAUAUUGGCGAGAGACCGAUAGCGAACCAGUACCGUGAGGGAAAGAUGAAAGAACUU